This 549-nucleotide ribosomal RNA is filed under the name uncultured bacterium. Its description in RNAcentral is "bacterial SSU rRNA". It matches the Rfam family "Bacterial small subunit ribosomal RNA", at positions 355 to 895 of the family's 1533-position model. The record is from RNAcentral.
UAGGGAAUCUUCGGCAAUGGGGGCAACCCUGACCGAGCAACGCCGCGUGAGUGAAGAAGGUUUUCGGAUCGUAAAGCUCUGUUGUAAGUCAAGAACGAGUGUGAGAGUGGAAAGUUCACACUGUGACGGUAGCUUACCAGAAAGGGACGGCUAACUACGUGCCAGCAGCCGCGGUAAUACGUAGGUCCCGAGCGUUGUCCGGAUUUAUUGGGCGUAAAGCGAGCGCAGGCGGUUUGAUAAGUCUGAAGUUAAAGGCUGUGGCUCAACCAUAGUUCGCUUUGGAAACUGUCAAACUUGAGUGCAGAAGGGGAGAGUGGAAUUCCAUGUGUAGCGGUGAAAUGCGUAGAUAUAUGGAGGAACACCGGUGGCGAAAGCGGCUCUCUGGUCUGUAACUGACGCUGAGGCUCGAAAGCGUGGGGAGCGAACAGGAUUAGAUACCCUGGUAGUCCACGCCGUAACGAUGAGUGCUAGGUGUUGGAUCCUUUCCGGGAUUCAGUGCCGCAGCUAACGCAUUAAGCACUCCGCCUGGGGGAGUACGACCGCAAGGUU